ACAUACAUGUAUAGCAUUUCAUCCUCACUGAAUAACUGUCUUGUUAUCUACCUAUCUUUCUCGUUUUUUCAGGUCAGUCAAACAAGUAAAUGAAUAUGUGUAUGAUUUGGUGUUUUUGAGAUUAUCGUGAUUCUUUUUUUCAGACUUUUUGAUGUAAUUUAUUUCAGAUAGUGAAUUUUAAAUGUGUUUUCUUCCGUUUUCUUAAGAGGAUAAAACGGGUGUUAUAAGAGUGUGGAAUC
RNAcentral lists this long non-coding RNA (239 nucleotides) under Brassica napus (rape). RNAcentral describes it as "long non-coding RNA (BNAP_LNC007586)". The record is from RNAcentral. Lineage: Eukaryota; Viridiplantae; Streptophyta; Magnoliopsida; Brassicales; Brassicaceae.